RNAcentral lists this transfer-messenger RNA (361 nucleotides) under Eubacteriales. RNAcentral's name for it is "Flemingibacterium sp015064195 Standard tmRNA". It matches the Rfam family "transfer-messenger RNA". Rfam says of the family: Bacterial tmRNA, also known as 10Sa RNA or SsrA, is named for its dual tRNA and mRNA-like properties. Its role is to liberate the mRNA from a stalled ribosome. Lineage: Bacteria; Bacillati; Bacillota; Clostridia. The record is from RNAcentral. RNAcentral also lists the same sequence under 1 other name.
GGGGGCGUAAAGGUUUCGACGGGGAUUUUGACAUACAGUAAGCGGGUAGAGACGCCUGAUCUCUUUAAAAUUGGCAACUUAAAAUUAAACGCUAACACUGAAUUAGCAGCCGCGUAAGCGGUCCUGCCUCUUAAGGCAGCUGUCCGCCGGGGGAGUAUCGCGGCCCCCGCUCGGGCAUCAUUUGAGCGAUGAACGUGAGCAGCCCUUUCGCACUUGAAGCUGCCAUGCAUUAAAGUGCUGCCCCGCGCCGCAGCCUGCCCUUCGGCGGCCGUGCGGGGGAGAUCCAAAUGAUCGGAUGCACCCGGAGAAAGCUGUAUCGAUGAGUUUUCGGACAGGGGUUCGAUUCCCCUCGUCUCCACCA